UACGUAGGGGGCAAGCGUUGUCCGGAAUCAUUGGGCGUAAAGCGCGUGUAGGCGGCCCGAUAAGUCCGCUGUGAAAGUCCAGGGCUCAACCCUGGAAUGCCGGUGGAUACUGUCGGGCUCGAGUCCGGAAGAGGCGAGUGGAAUUCCUGGUGUAGCGGUGAAAUGCGCAGAUAUCGGGAAGAACACCCGUGGCGAAGGCGGCUCUCUGGGACGGUACUGACGCUGAGACGCGAAAGCGUGGGGAGCGAACAGG
RNAcentral lists this ribosomal RNA (253 nucleotides) under uncultured bacterium. RNAcentral describes it as "partial 16S ribosomal RNA". It matches the Rfam family "Bacterial small subunit ribosomal RNA", at positions 524 to 776 of the family's 1533-position model. The record is from RNAcentral.